This is a long non-coding RNA of Formica exsecta, 702 nucleotides long. RefSeq lists it as uncharacterized. The record is from RefSeq and is a predicted model, not a curated record. The transcript has 2 exons. Lineage: Eukaryota; Metazoa; Arthropoda; Insecta; Hymenoptera; Formicidae.
UUUUAUGUAACAUUUAUUCAGAUUGAUUCCGAAUCCGCUAAGAAUGUCGGUGCUAAUUUGGAGAGGAUAACUGCCGAUUUGAAACAAAUGAAACAAGAAACCGCAGCAUUAACGGCACAAUUACAGAGUAAAGCUUCGUGAUUGUUAUGUAUAGUGUGGUCGCAUUUUACAUAUUGUAAUAUUCAGGACCAGAUAAGAAUAUAUCUAACACAGAAUAUAAAUGAAUACGAUCAAAAGCAUCGAAGACCAAACAUUUUUUAGCUGUAUAGCUGGCAAGAUAUAACGCGAUAUUGCCAGCAAGAAUCUUUGCGAAUCUAAGUUGGCUGCUGAAAAACGUGCCUUGGCCUGGAAUAGUCAGGCGCUCGCCUCGGGCCAAGUGUAUAAUGACACGUUAACAUCAAUGCUCAAAAGAUUCAUUUGUUACAAAGCCUAAUAAUUUUUUAGCAUCAAGUUCAACUUUCGUAUUUCAUGCAGCUUGGAAAAGAUCUGAUUACAGCUGUAAAUAAAAUAAAUGCUGAAACACAUCAGUUUUGAGUAAAGAACAUGUACAAAAUAUAUAAGAUAUGUACAAAUAAUGGUAAAGUCAAUUUUUAAUAUUUUAUACACAUAUUCUCCUUGUAAAAAUUAUUUUUAUAAAGUAAGUGGUAUAUGUGUGACACUUACACAUAUAAUACUGCAAUAUCAAUAUGUUAAAAAAUAACA